This 292-nucleotide ribosomal RNA is filed under the name uncultured bacterium. RNAcentral's name for it is "partial 16S ribosomal RNA". It matches the Rfam family "Bacterial small subunit ribosomal RNA", at positions 505 to 796 of the family's 1533-position model. The record is from RNAcentral.
GUGCCAGCAGCCGCGGUAAUACGAAGGGGGCAAGCGUUGUUCGGAUUUACUGGGCGUAAAGCGUACGUAGGCGGAUCAUUAAGUCAGGGGUGAAAUCCCGGGGCUCAACCUCGGAACUGCCUUUGAUACUGGUGAUCUUGAGUCCGGGAGAGGUGAGUGGAACUCCUAGUGUAGAGGUGAAAUUCGUAGAUAUUAGGAAGAACACCAGUGGCGAAGGCGGCUCACUGGCCCGGAACUGACGCUGAGGUACGAAAGCGUGGGGAGCAAACAGGAUUAGAAACCCGCGUAGUCC